AGCGAACGCUGGCGGCAGGCCUAACACAUGCAAGUCGAACGAACCUUUCGGGGUUAGUGGCGGACGGGUGAGUAACACGUGGGAACGUGCCUUUAGGUUCGGAAUAACUCAGGGAAACUUGUGCUAAUACCGAAUGUGCCCUUCGGGGGAAAGAUUUAUCGCCUUUAGAGCGGCCCGCGUCUGAUUAGCUAGUUGGUUGAGGUAAUGGCUUACCAAGGCGACGAUCAGUAGCUGGUCUGAGAGGGUGAUCAGCCAGAUUGGAACUGAGACACGGCCCAGACUCCGACGGUGAGCAGCAGUGGGGAAUCUUCCGCAAUGGGCGAGAGCCGGACGGAGCAACGCCGCGGAAAUGAUGAAGGUCUUCGGAUCGUAAAACUCUGUUAUUAGGGAAGAACAAAUGUGUAAGUAACUAUGCACGUCUUGACGGUACCUAAUCAGAAAGCCACGGCUAACUACGUG
Molecule: ribosomal RNA, 459 nt
Filed under: uncultured bacterium
Lineage: Bacteria
Description: partial 16S ribosomal RNA
Rfam family: Bacterial small subunit ribosomal RNA
Source: RNAcentral